Molecule: unclassified non-coding RNA, 400 nt
Filed under: Eucalyptus yangoura
Lineage: Eukaryota; Viridiplantae; Streptophyta; Magnoliopsida; Myrtales; Myrtaceae
Description: partial external transcribed spacer
Source: RNAcentral
UGCAUCGAACUGCUUCCCUCACUUUAGAUCAGUUGUUGCUCCACGAGAUAAACGUUGGACGCAAGACAUGGGUUCCUGUGUUGCAUACCUAUUGCGACGGAAAUGUGUGCCUUCGAUCGUCCCUUCCAUCACGGCGUCCUCACGGAUGCUCGGUUGGACCGGAUAGUGGGGCUCGUGUUCCACGAACGUCGUCUCAUUCGACCGUUCGGAUGGACCACGGGUGCCCACUCGUUCUCUCGGAUGCGGAAAUCUCUUGAUGGGCGUGGGGUCAUUGGCCCUUGGUCCCUAAUCGUUAAGCGUUUAUCGCUUCACCGGAAUGACGAUCUCGCCUUGUCCUUGACCACGCGAAGCCCUCGGGCAUCGCGACGGAUCAUGCUCGGCGGACGUCGUGAAGGAAUGC